GUGCUCUGUAACUACCAUUUAAGUUUCAAUCCAGGCAAUCCACAGUCAAAUGAACACAGCCUGCAUAAAGUAACUGUGAUUUUUCACCAACCGUUGUGACUUCCGUAAA
Molecule: long non-coding RNA, 109 nt
Organism: Sinocyclocheilus rhinocerous
Lineage: Eukaryota; Metazoa; Chordata; Actinopteri; Cypriniformes; Cyprinidae
Exons: 3
Source: RefSeq, a predicted model, not a curated record